AAUAGAUACCCUGGUAGUCCACGCCCUAAACGAUGCUCACUAGGUGUUGGGGAAGCGAUUCCUUGGUACCGUAGCUAACGCGUGAAGUGAGCCGCCUGGGGAGUACGGCCGCAAGGUUAAAACUCAAAGGAAUUGACGGGGGACCCGCACAAGCGGUGGAUGAUGUGGAUUAAUUCGAUGCAACGCGAACAACCUUACCUACCCUUGACAUGUCCGGAAGCCUGCUGAAAGGCGGGGGUGCUCGAAAGAGAACCGGAACACAGGUGCUGCAUGGCUGUCGUCAGCUCGUGUCGUGAGAUGUUGGGUUAAGUCCCGCAACGAGCGCAACCCUUGUCCCUAGUUGCUACGCAAGGGCACUCUAGGGAGACUGCCGGUGACAAACCGGAGGAAGGUGGGGAUGACGUCAAGUCCUCAUGGCCCUUAUGGGUAGGGCUUCACACGUCAUACAAUGGACGGUACAGAGGGUUGCCAACCCGCGAGGGGGAGCCAAUCCCAGAAAGCCGUUCGUAGUCCGGAUCGCAGUCUGCAACUCGACUGCGUGAAGUCGG
RNAcentral lists this ribosomal RNA (548 nucleotides) under uncultured bacterium. Its description in RNAcentral is "bacterial SSU rRNA". It matches the Rfam family "Bacterial small subunit ribosomal RNA", at positions 777 to 1329 of the family's 1533-position model. The record is from RNAcentral.